CUUCCUUGCCUCUUCCAGCUUUGGAGGCUCCUGGCAAUCCUUAUCUUGGGCUGUAUCUCUCCAGUCUUGGCCUCCGUCUUCGCAUGGACUUCUCUUCUGUGCCUGUCUCCCAAAUCUCCCUCUGCCUUUCUCUUAUAAGGACACUUGUCAUUUGAUGUAGGGGCCACCCUAAAUCCAGCAUGACCUCGUCUUGAGAUGCCUAACUUAAUUACUUGUGUGAAGACCCUUUUCCAUAAAAGAUCAGUCAUAGGUUCCAAGGAUUAGGACUUUUGGGGACCACUGUUGAACUUACUAUGGUGGUGGUAGGUGGAAGGAAGGGCAGAGAAAAGGAAAAAGGGAGAGAGCAUGACUUUUUCUCUGAAUUCAAGUAGUAUAGUUUGACUGGAGUGGGCAGAAGACCCAACAGCCUUGCCUAGAGCCACUGUCCUGAAGAGGCAGAAAGGUCUGGAAUUCGACAUCGUAUUUGAGGAUGUUCUCACUGGAGAUGGACAUGGCUGGUGUAGCAUCGUUGAUGAUUUCAGUGCCAGGAGUUGCUUAUGGAGAAAAGCUACUCAAGGGACAGUUUCAUGUGAUUUUGACCCACACUCAUUACUUUAAGAGAGGGAGCUACGGGGAAGAGUUGUACCCCAGAAACCAAUUAUACCGUUUUGAAAGCCAGUGUCACGUUGGCAAAGAGUCCAGUUGGAGACCAAAAUCUGGAUGGCUAUGGAGAUGUCUUAUGGAAUCUAAGAACAGAAAUGCAGAUAAGCACAGAAAAGCUGCCAGGAGCCCAGAAAGCCAGUCGGAGCUCGUGAUGGUGCUCAGCCUUCUACGUAGACGCCGUCCCUCCUCACUCGGAAGGAAGGAUUCCAAGAAGGUGAUCUCCUGUGGGGCUGUCUUCUAGAAUUCUAGGAUUUUCUUGGUUCCACCUCCAUAAUCAGCCCCAAAUUCAAGUACUAAGAGACACUCAGUCUUCAUGGUCAUAGUGAGCCACGUUUCUCCUCUGAAGCAAGUAUUGGCUGUGAACCAAUAUUACACAUUUUAAAUUUAUUUUCUUUGAUUCAGAUCUUCUCCAUGCAGAUUUAUGAACACUAGAUAUGGGAUCAAUUUAGCCCUAAUUUUGCCAUAUUUUACUUGGCCAUUCUGAGACGGAGCUUUUACUCAAGUGGCUAUAGUUAAGAUAUCAAAUAUUUGAAAAGCUGAACUGCUUUUGUUUUGUACUUGGCAUUUGUUGCACAGAAGACAGCUUGGAGCAUGUGUUUCCUCUCCCUCUAAGUAAGAACACAUCUCUUGAAAAGGUUUGGCACAGUCUUGCCAAAGGAGGAAGCAGGAAACUCAAGCCAGCCUGGAGUUUCGUGAGCCAUGGAAAACUGGCUCAAUUCACCAUGAAAAUAAUUUGGAAACAAGAAGUGAGUUCAGAGGGGCCCCUUCCUAGCUCAGUUCUUCAU
Choloepus didactylus (southern two-toed sloth) is the source of this 1427-nucleotide long non-coding RNA. RefSeq lists it as uncharacterized. The record is from RefSeq and is a predicted model, not a curated record. Lineage: Eukaryota; Metazoa; Chordata; Mammalia; Pilosa; Megalonychidae. The transcript has 3 exons.